GUCUACAGCCAUACCAUCCUGAAUGUGCCUGGUUGCAUCUGAUCGCAGAAGCUAAGCAGGGUUGGGCCUGGUUAGCAUUUGAAUGAAGAACACAAAAGUCUGAUGAAAAAUUUUGAUGAAGUACAGU
RNAcentral lists this ribosomal RNA (127 nucleotides) under Chinchilla lanigera (long-tailed chinchilla). The record is from RNAcentral. Lineage: Eukaryota; Metazoa; Chordata; Mammalia; Rodentia; Chinchillidae.